UCUUCGGAACAUCGGUGACAGGUGGUGCAUGGUUGUCGUCAGCUCGUGUCGUGAGAUGUUGGGUUAAGUCCCGCAACGAGCGCAACCCUUAUCUUCAGUAGCCAUCAUUGAGUUGGGCACUCUGGAGAGACUGCCGUGGAUAACACGGAGGAAGGUGGGGAUGACGUCAAAUCAUCAUGCCCCUUAUGUCUUGGGCUACACACG
This 204-nucleotide ribosomal RNA is filed under the name Anaerotignum lactatifermentans. RNAcentral describes it as "partial 16S ribosomal RNA". It matches the Rfam family "Bacterial small subunit ribosomal RNA", at positions 1017 to 1222 of the family's 1533-position model. Lineage: Bacteria; Bacillati; Bacillota; Clostridia; Lachnospirales; Anaerotignaceae. The record is from RNAcentral.